UUGCAAACUUGAUCACUAGCUCUGCAUGAAGUUGCAGAAGCAAAGGGAACAGGUUUGCUAAAAUAAACAUGGUCAUAGACCCUGUAUUAGCCUUAGAAAUCUCAUUAUUUGGGCUGUUAACUCUAUGCCGUGACAAGG
This is a small nucleolar RNA of Camarhynchus parvulus, 138 nucleotides long. The record is from RefSeq and is a predicted model, not a curated record. NCBI's taxonomy places the organism in Eukaryota, Metazoa, Chordata, Aves, Passeriformes, Thraupidae.